Molecule: ribosomal RNA, 496 nt
Filed under: uncultured bacterium
Lineage: Bacteria
Description: partial 16S ribosomal RNA
Rfam family: Bacterial small subunit ribosomal RNA
Source: RNAcentral
GAUGAACGCUGGCGGCGUGCCUAAUACAUGCAAGUCGAGCGAACAGACGAGGAGCUUGCUCCUCUGACGUUAGCGGCGGACGGGUGAGUAACACGUGGAUAACCUACCUAUAAGACUGGGAUAACUUCGGGAAACCGGGCUAAUACCGGAUAAUAUAUUGAACCGCAUGGUUCAAUAGUGAAAGACGGUUUUGCUGUCACUUAUAGAUGGAUCCGCGCCGCAUUAGCUAGUUGGUAAGGUAACGGCUUACCAAGGCGACGAUGCGUAGCCGACCUGAGAGGGUGAUCGGCCACACUGGAACUGAGACACGGUCCAGACUCCUACGGGAGGCAGCAGUAGGGAAUCUUCCGCAAUGGGCGAAAGCCUGACGGAGCAACGCCGCGUGAGUGAUGAAGGUCUUCGGAUCGUAAAACUCUGUUAUUAGGGAAGAACAAAUGUGUAAGUAACUAUGCACGUCUUGACGGUACCUAAUCAGAAAGCCACGGCUAACUACGUG